Long non-coding RNA from Cotesia glomerata, 172 nucleotides. RefSeq lists it as uncharacterized. Lineage: Eukaryota; Metazoa; Arthropoda; Insecta; Hymenoptera; Braconidae. The transcript is spliced from 4 exons. The record is from RefSeq and is a predicted model, not a curated record.
GGACAUAUUGACAUCCUCAGGAAAAUGGUCGGAAUUGCUUUCUCAGACCUCAAAACGUGGAGAUCUGAUGCAAAUUCGAUUUUCGAAAAUCAGGGUGAAACCAAUAACUUCCCAAUUUUGAAAAUUUUCAAUUUUCUUAGCAGGAAGUUAAAAACAUCAGAUGUAUUUUCUA